GACGAACGCUGGCGGCGUGCUUAACACAUGCAAGUCGAACGAUGACGACCUAGCUUGCUCGGCCUGAUUAGUGGCGAACGGGUGAGUAACACGUGAGCAACCUGCCCUUCACUUUGGGAUAACCUCGGGAAAUCGGGGCUAAUCCCGUAUCUGAGCCGCCGUCGCAUUGCGGGCGUUGGAACGUUUUUCGGUGCAGGUUAGGCUCGCGGGCUAUCAGUUUGUUGGUGGGGUAGUGGCUCACCAAGGCGAUGACGGGUAGCCGGCCUGAGAGGGCGAACAGCCACACUGGGACUGAGAGAGGGCGCAGUCGGCUACGGGAGGCAGCAGUGGGGAGUAUUGCACAGUGGUCGAGAGCCUGAUGCAGCGACGCCGCGUGAGGGAUGACGGCCUUCGGGUUGUGAACCUCUUUCAGCAAGGAAGAAGCGAAAGUGACGGUACCUGAAGAAGAAGCGCCGGCUAACUACGUG
RNAcentral lists this ribosomal RNA (467 nucleotides) under uncultured bacterium. Its description in RNAcentral is "partial 16S ribosomal RNA". It matches the Rfam family "Bacterial small subunit ribosomal RNA", at positions 28 to 507 of the family's 1533-position model. The record is from RNAcentral.